CCUACGGGUGGCUGCAGUGGGGAAUAUUGGACAAUGGGCGAAAGCCUGAUCCAGCCAUGCCGCGUGUGUGAAGAAGGCCUUCGGGUUGUAAAGCACUUUCAGUGGGGAAGAAAGCCUUGGGGCUAAUACCCUCGAGGAAGGACAUCACCCACAGAAGAAGCACCGGCUAACUCCGUGCCAGCAGCCGCGGUAAUACGGAGGGUGCGAGCGUUAAUCGGAAUUACUGGGCGUAAAGCGCGCGUAGGCGGUCUGAUAAGCCGGUUGUGAAAGCCCCGGGCUCAACCUGGGAACGGCAUCCGGAACUGUCAGGCUAGAGUGCAGGAGAGGAAGGUAGAAUUCCCGGUGUAGCGGUGUAAUGCGUAGAGAUCGGGAGGAAUACCAGUGGCGAAGGCGGCCUUCUGGACUGACACUGACGCUGAGGUGCGAAAGCGUGGGUAGCAAACAGGAUUAGAUACCCUUGUAGUC
RNAcentral lists this ribosomal RNA (465 nucleotides) under Vreelandella stevensii. Its description in RNAcentral is "partial 16S ribosomal RNA". It matches the Rfam family "Bacterial small subunit ribosomal RNA", at positions 338 to 795 of the family's 1533-position model. The record is from RNAcentral. Lineage: Bacteria; Pseudomonadati; Pseudomonadota; Gammaproteobacteria; Oceanospirillales; Halomonadaceae.